GGCGGGGGGGAUGACUAGAGAUUCUCUGAUGAAGAUCCCGAGGAAUGACCUGGUGGAGAGUUUAUCUGCUCAAUAAGGGUCAUCUGUGGCGAUGCCCCGCCUCCUUCACGCUCAUGGGGAGGAGGGAGGAGAGGAAGGAGAGGAAGGGGAGGGAGGAGAGAGAGGGAACACAGACUUUUUGUAAACGGCUCGGAGGUCCAACCAUCUUUCUCCGUCUGUCCUUUACACUAUAUCUGAACAACCUCUGUGAACUUUCAUUAUGAAUAAAUUUCAAAAACGUA
This is a long non-coding RNA of Perca fluviatilis (European perch), 281 nucleotides long. RefSeq lists it as uncharacterized. The record is from RefSeq and is a predicted model, not a curated record. Lineage: Eukaryota; Metazoa; Chordata; Actinopteri; Perciformes; Percidae. The transcript is spliced from 2 exons.